This is a long non-coding RNA of Onychostoma macrolepis, 323 nucleotides long. RefSeq lists it as uncharacterized. Lineage: Eukaryota; Metazoa; Chordata; Actinopteri; Cypriniformes; Cyprinidae. The record is from RefSeq and is a predicted model, not a curated record. The transcript is spliced from 4 exons.
CCGUCACUCGCCACAGUUCUCAAGCAAGAGCAAAGGCAGCGAGGGGUGGUGUGAUGUCAUUUGCAACAAGACGGCUGAUACUUAUAUGAGCCUAAAAUAAAGGACAAUAAUGGCAUCAGCCAUUCAAGUUAUGAUCCUGGCAGAUCUACUACUAUCUGAAAAGUAGUCUCUGCAGAUUGUUUCAAGAUACACAAGAUGGAGCGUGGGGAGACAGGACAUGGACCACAGUUUUUCAGCACCCACACCCCACACUCAAAUUCAUAUAGAAGUUCUCAAUUAUUAAAUGUUAAUUUCAUAGUUUAUAUUUAGCUGUGAAGUUAUAG